UACGGAGGGUGCAAGCGUUAUCCGGAUUUACUGGGUUUAAAGGGCUCGUAGGCGGCCAACUAAGUCAUACGUGAAAUCCCUCAGCUUAACUGGGGAACUGCGUGUGAUACUGGAUGGCUUGGAUUUGGGAGAGGGAUGCGGAAUUCCAGGUGUAGCGGUGAAAUGCGUAGAUAUCUGGAGGAACACCGGUGGCGAAGGCGGCAUCCUGGACCAAUAUUGACGCUGAGGAGCGAAAGCCAGGGGAGCAAACGGG
Molecule: ribosomal RNA, 253 nt
Filed under: uncultured bacterium
Lineage: Bacteria
Description: partial 16S ribosomal RNA
Rfam family: Bacterial small subunit ribosomal RNA
Source: RNAcentral